This 492-nucleotide ribosomal RNA is filed under the name uncultured bacterium. Its description in RNAcentral is "partial 16S ribosomal RNA". It matches the Rfam family "Bacterial small subunit ribosomal RNA", at positions 29 to 507 of the family's 1533-position model. The record is from RNAcentral.
AGUGAACGCUGGCGGUAGGCCUAACACAUGCAAGUCGAACGGCAGCACAGUAAGAGCUUGCUCUUACGGGUGGCGAGUGGCGGACGGGUGAGGAAUACAUCGGAAUCUACUUUUUCGUGGGGGAUAACGUAGGGAAACUUACGCUAAUACCGCAUACGACCUACGGGUGAAAGCAGGGGAUCUUCGGACCUUGCGCGAUUGAAUGAGCCGAUGUCGGAUUAGCUAGUUGGCGGGGUAAAGGCCCACCAAGGCGACGAUCCGUAGCUGGUCUGAGAGGAUGAACAGCCACACUGGAACUGAGACACGGUCCAGACUCCUACGGGAGGCAGCAGCGGGGAAUAUUGGACAAUGGGCGCAAGCCUGAUCCAGCCAUACCGCGUGGGUGAAGAAGGCCUUCGGGUUGUAAAGCCCUUUUGUUGGGAAAGAAAAGCAGCAGGUUAAUACCCCGCUGUUCUGACGGUACCCAAAGAAUAAGCACCGGCUAACUUCGUG